RNAcentral lists this unclassified non-coding RNA (251 nucleotides) under uncultured fungus. Its description in RNAcentral is "sequence contains ITS1, 5.8S rRNA gene". The stretch from base 203 to 251 matches the Rfam family "5.8S ribosomal RNA", at positions 1 to 49 of the family's 154-position model. The record is from RNAcentral. Lineage: Eukaryota; Fungi.
UUUCCGUAGGUGAACCUGCGGAAGGAUCAUUAUCGAGUACCGGGUCCUCUGGGCCCUUACUCCCACCCUUUGUGUACCUACCACUUUUUCGUUGCCUUGGCGGGGUCGAUCCCUGGGGCCUCACGGCUCCGCGGGGACUCGUCAUGGGGACAAUUCUAAACUAUUGUUAACCGUGAAGUCUGAGAAAAUCUUAAUAAAUUAAAACUUUCAACAACGGAUCUCUUGGUUCUGGCAUCGAUGAAGAACGCAGC